Molecule: ribosomal RNA, 1249 nt
Filed under: Mesorhizobium sp.
Lineage: Bacteria; Pseudomonadati; Pseudomonadota; Alphaproteobacteria; Hyphomicrobiales; Phyllobacteriaceae
Description: partial 23S ribosomal RNA
Rfam family: Bacterial large subunit ribosomal RNA
Source: RNAcentral
CUCCUGACUGACCGAUAGUGAACCAGUACCGUGAGGGAAAGGCGAAAAGAACCCCGGCGAGGGGAGUGAAAAAGAACCUGAAACCGUGUACGUACAAGCAGUGGGAGCACCUUCGGGUGUGACUGCGUACCUUUUGUAUAAUGGGUCAGCGACUUAUAUUCUGUAGCAAGGUUAACCGUAUAGGGGAGCCGCAGGGAAACCGAGUCUUAACUGGGCGUUAAGUUGCAGGGUAUAGACCCGAAACCCGGUGAUCUAGCCAUGGGCAGGUUGAAGGUUGGGUAACACUAACUGGAGGACCGAACCGACUAAUGUUGAAAAAUUAGCGGAUGACUUGUGGCUGGGGGUGAAAGGCCAAUCAAACCGGGAGAUAGCUGGUUCUCCCCGAAAGCUAUUUAGGUAGCGCCUCGUGAACUCAUCUUCGGGGGUAGAGCACUGUUUCGGCUAGGGGGUCAUCCCGACUUACCAACCCGAUGCAAACUACGAAUACCGAAGAAUGUUAUCACGGGAGACACACGGCGGGUGCUAACGUCCGUCGUGAAGAGGGAAACAACCCAGACCGCCAGCUAAGGUCCCAAAGUCACAGUUAAGUGGGAAACGAUGUGGGAAGGCACAGACAGCCAGGAUGUUGGCUUAGAAGCAGCCAUCAUUUAAAGAAAGCGUAAUAGCUCACUGGUCGAGUCGGCCUGCGCGGAAGAUGUAACGGGGCUAAACUGUGCACCGAAGCUGCGGCAGCGACACUAUGUGUUGUUGGGUAGGGGAGCGUUCUGUAAGCCUGCGAAGGUGGCCUGUGAGGGUUGCUGGAGGUAUCAGAAGUGCGAAUGCUGACAUAAGUAACGAUAAUGCGGGUGAAAAGCCCGCACGCCGGAAGACCAAGGGUUCCUGUCCAACGUUAAUCGGGGCAGGGUGAGUCGACCCCUAAGGCGAGGCCGAAAGGCGUAGUCGAUGGGAAACAGGUUAAUAUUCCUGUACUUGGUGUUACUGCGAAGGGGGGACGGAGAAGGCUAUGUUAGCCGGGCGACGGUUGUCCCGGUUUAAGCAUGUAGGCGGAGGUUCCAGGUAAAUCCGGUACCUUAUUAACGCUGAGGUGUGAUGACGAGGCACUACGGUGCUGAAGUAACAAAUGCCCUGCUUCCAGGAAAAGCCUCUAAGCAUCAGGUAACAUUAAAUCGUACCCCAAACCGACACAGGUGGUCAGGUAGAGAAUACCAAGGCGCUUGAGAGAACUCGGGUGAAGGAACUAGGCAAAAUG